UUGAAGAUAGAAGGACCUCUCGUUGCCUCUUGCUUCUUCUUCAUUUUUUUUUCACAGACCCCCUUUCUUCAAGGGAGAACAACAGUAGUUUCUCUGCUCAUAACCAAAAAUCAAGGACACCCCUACAACGAACGGCGCUCCUGGCUGCUCCAUUCUUCAUCUUCAAAACCAACAAACCCCUUUUUUUUCUUCCAUUUCCAUGAAGGCUCCAAAGAAAUACGCACUCCCUCACUCACUGAUACCACACACUUUCUGAAAUUUAAAAAGAAAGGAGGAAAAGCUUUGAAUUAAAAUUUCGGAUCAGCGAUGCUAAGAACUUAACAAAAAGAGGAUAGAAAACAAGGCUUCAUCCCUGCUUGAAAUUGCUGUCUUCUUCUUUCAUAUUUCUGGGUUUCAAUAAUGUGUGCUUGAAGCUUGUUGUGGCUCGCUGCUGAGUCUGCUAACCUCCACUUCUCUGGCCCUUUAUUUGGCAUCUUGUUUUCCUUUCUGAUCGAAUCCAGAUCACUGUUUCUAGUUCUGACAUUGAGAAAAACAGCUGAGAUGGUAUUAGUAACAUUUUGAGUAUCCCUCAUGGAAAAAUUGCUAAGGUGUGAAGCACACAGGUACAAAUUUGCAUCCUUUCUAAUGUGCAUAACUGUUUGGCUUUAUAAAAUGUCAUCUGUUGUUCUAUGCAUCCAUGUUACAAGUAAUACACUUGUUCGUAACUCUCUAUUGACCUUUGAAAUGUUCUGCUGGUAGUAUGGAAAUAAGUGCCCCAAUAUUCUUCCCUCUGGUCACUUUUGUAAGAAACUGCAAAUUCUGUUUGUACGACUCAUGACAAAAUUAGCUCGUAUUGGCCCUCAUAA
Nicotiana tabacum (common tobacco) is the source of this 845-nucleotide non-coding RNA. Lineage: Eukaryota; Viridiplantae; Streptophyta; Magnoliopsida; Solanales; Solanaceae. The record is from RefSeq and is a predicted model, not a curated record.